RNAcentral lists this unclassified non-coding RNA (325 nucleotides) under uncultured fungus. Its description in RNAcentral is "partial contains small subunit ribosomal RNA, internal transcribed spacer 1, and 5.8S ribosomal RNA". The stretch from base 1 to 73 matches the Rfam family "Eukaryotic small subunit ribosomal RNA", at positions 1759 to 1831 of the family's 1831-position model. The record is from RNAcentral. Lineage: Eukaryota; Fungi.
GCAAACUUGGUCAUUUAGAGGAAGUAAAAGUCGUAACAAGGUUUCCGUAGGUGAACCUGCGGAAGGAUCAUUAUCGUACAACGGAGGCGCGAGGGCUGUCGCUGACCAAAAGGUCGUGCACGCCCCAGCGUCUGCAUCCCAUCCCUCACCCCUUGUGCACCACCGCGUGGGCCCCCCUUUUUGGCUUCGUUCGGAAGCGGUGCUCGCGUCUUUUUAACACAAACACGAUGCAGUGUAGAAUGUAUUCCUUUAUGCGAUGACACGCAUAGUCAAUACAACUUUCAACAACGGAUCUCUUGGCUCUCGCAUCGAUGAAGAACGCAGC